This 253-nucleotide ribosomal RNA is filed under the name uncultured bacterium. RNAcentral's name for it is "partial 16S ribosomal RNA". It matches the Rfam family "Bacterial small subunit ribosomal RNA", at positions 524 to 776 of the family's 1533-position model. The record is from RNAcentral.
UACGUAGGGGGCAAGCGUUGUCCGGAAUCAUUGGGCGUAAAGAGCGUGUAGGCGGCUCGGUAAGUCCGCUGUGAAAGUCCAGGGCUCAACCCUGGAAUGCCGGUGGAAACUGUCGAGCUAGAGUCCGGAAGAGGCGAGUGGAAUUCCUGGUGUAGCGGUGAAAUGCGCAGAUAUCAGGAGGAACACCAAUGGCGAAGGCAGCUCGCUGGGACGGUACUGACACUGAGACGCGAAAGCGUGGGGAGCGAACAGG